Molecule: long non-coding RNA, 442 nt
Organism: Venturia canescens
Lineage: Eukaryota; Metazoa; Arthropoda; Insecta; Hymenoptera; Ichneumonidae
Exons: 3
Source: RefSeq, a predicted model, not a curated record
CUAGGGCAGCGUAGCGAAGCGCGGCUGUCGAACAUUUUCGGAAAGCCUCUUCCAUAUUGGUCUCAGAAGCGGACGGAGCAACUGGAUUUUCAAUCCAUCGCAAUCGAGGUUUUCUAGAGUAAUCUAGACUCCUCUCCACCGCAAAUAUGAGAGCGAAGUGGCGUAAGAAGCGAAUGCGCAGGCUAAAGCGUAAGAGGAGGAAGAUGCGUGCGAGGUCCAAGUAGACUGACCAUCUUCAAUUCUCUGCGGGAAUAACUCGUUCCAGUGUCUGAUCGACCUCCGGCGAGUCAACGACCAUCCUGAAGAAUAUUUCCAUUUUUUGUACAUCGAGGAUUGAAAAAAGUCGUUUAUUACAUCCAGCGCGACGCAGUUAUUCCUGCAGAGAACGUUUUCAAAAGAACUAUCUUGAUUUGUUUUAAUAAAUGACUCUUCAUGAUAGGAA